Molecule: long non-coding RNA, 2725 nt
Filed under: Triticum aestivum (bread wheat)
Lineage: Eukaryota; Viridiplantae; Streptophyta; Magnoliopsida; Poales; Poaceae
Description: long non-coding RNA (TAES_LNC000061)
Source: RNAcentral
UCGCACGCCACCUCGCCGGAGAACGUUGUCCUCGCCCGGAUCCCCGCGCCCUGCCAUCUUGUCCAUGCCGGCGAGUUCCUCCCGCGUCGUCGUCUUCUCUGCAUCAAGCCGCGCCGCCGUGCCAAGUCCCCUGCAUCGCGCCCAGCUGCCGGCGCUCGAACCUGCCUGCUUCCACGACCCGCGCUCGCCUCCAGAGGAAGAGUCAACGCACGAGCGUCUCGUGCGUGUUCCAGAUCCAGUGAACCGGCCCAGCCUCCCGAAGCCCAGCCGCUUCUUCGCUUCCAGCCCAGUGGCCCGAUGUGAGCAGCCGCCUAAACCCCUCCUGUGCACCAUUGGGCCAGCUAGUUUCGGCCCGUGUUGUUUUUUUUUCCUGAACGAAUUUGCCUAUUAAUCCAGUGAAUGACAGAUUUGCAGAAAACCCCUCAUACAUCAUGCAUAUAAUAAUUCACAACCCGUGCAUCGGAUUAAAAUGAUUUAAACAUGUAAAGUGCUUAGAAUUUCAUCUAGUUUCAUAAUAUGCCACUUUCAUGCAUGUUUAAAAUGUUUAAAAUGCUGUUUGUUUAAAUUUGCAUAAAUGCCAUGUUAAAAUGAUUUAAUUCAUAACUAAUUAACCGUAACUCAGAAUUUAUUAAACUUUAUAUGUAAAUGGGGUAGAAAAAUGCAUAGAUUAACUUGGUGCACUUUAUUUUCCUGUUUAACAACAAUAAAAUAUGGUUUUAGGCAGAACAGUACCAAUUCCAAAAUAUGGACAUGAGGAUUUUCCGGAAUUGUUGUUUGUUGUUCCGGCCUCAUUUAAACUUGCCUAGAUAGGUAGUUUUCAUAUGCUUCACCCCCUUGCCAUGUUUAAUAACAUUUAAUAUUGUUGGGUACAUAAACGAGAGAGAACUAAAUAAUUGAUGUGGUGAUUCGUCAAUAUGCAACGAGUUGCAUAUUGAGCUCCACUUAAUUUGUAGUGUUGUAUGUUGCACUUUGCCAUGCCAUGCUCAUAAAAUCGGACAUGCAUCAUACUUGUUUGUGCAUCAUGCCAUGUGUAUGUGGUGGUUGUUUACUAUGUUGUUUGUUUCUUUCUGGGUUGCUUCUCUCGUUAGCUUCGGUUUCAUUCCGGAGUUGUGAGGAUUCGUUCGACUUCAUCCAUUUGUCUUCUUCAUGGACUCGUUCUUCUUCCUAGCGGGAUCUCAGGCAAGAUGACCAUACCCUCGAAAUCACUUCUAUCUUUGCUUGCUAGUUGUUUGCUCUAUUGCUUUGCCGCGCUACCUACCACUUGUUAUAUCAUGCCUCCCAUAUUGCCAUGUCAAGCCUCUAACCAUCCUUUCCUAGCAAACCGUUGUUUGGCUAUGUUACCGCUUUUGCUCAGCCCCUCUUAUAGCGUUGCUAGUUGCAGGUGAAGAUGAAGUUUGUUCCAUGAUGGAACAUGGAUAUGUUGGGAUAUCACAAUAUCUCUUAUUUUGAUUAAUGCAUCUAUAUACUUGGUAAAGGGUGGAAGGCUCGGCCUUAUGCCUGGUGUUUUGUUCCACUCUUGCCGCCCUAGUUUCCGUCAUACCGGUGUUAUGUUCCUUGAUUUUGCGUUCCUUACGCGGUUGGGUGAUUUAUGGGACCCCCUUGACAGUUUGCUUUGAAUAAAACUCCUCCAGCAAGGCCCAACCUUGGUUUUACCAUUUGCCUACCUAAGCCUUUUACACUUGGGUUCUGCAGACUCAAGGGUCAUCUUUAUUUUAAACUCCCGGGCCAGUGCUCCUCUAAGUGUUGGUCCAACCUGUCAGUCGCCAGUGGCCACCAAGGGCAACUCUGGGCUCGCCUAUCGGAAGCUUGGACAAUCCGGUGUGCCCUGAGAACGAGAUAUGUGCAGCUACUAUCGGGAUUUGUCGGCACAUUCGGGCAGCUUUGCUGGUCUUGUUUUACCAUUGUCGAAAUGUCUUGUAAACCGGGAUUCCGAGACUGAUCGGGUCUUCCCGGGAGAAGGUUUAUCCUUCGUUGACCGUGAGAGCUUAUAAUGGGCUAAGUUGGGACACCCCUGCAGGGUAUUAUCUUUCGAAAGCCGUGCCCGCGGUUAUGUGGCAGAUGGGAAUUUGUUAAUAUCCGGUUGUAGAGAACUUGACACUCGACUUAAUUAAAACGCAUCAACCGCGUGUGUAGCCGUGAUGGUCUCUUUUCGGCGGAGCCCGGGAAGUGAACACGGCUUUUGGGUUAUGUUUAACGUAAGUAGGAGUUCAGGAUCACUUCUUGAUCAUUACUAGUUGACGACCGUUCCGUUGCUCCUCUUCUCGCUCUUAUGGCGUAUUUUAGCCACCAUAUAUGCUUAGUGCCUGCUGCAGCUCCACCUUUACACCAUCCUUUCCUAUAAGCUUAGUAUUGAUCUCGCGGGUGUGAGAUUGCUGAGUCCUCGUGACUCACAUAUUCUACCAAAACAGUUGCAGGUGCCGACGAUACCAGUGCAGGUGAUGCUACCAGACUCAAGUGGGAGUUCGACGAGGACCUUGGUCGUUACUAUGUUUCGUUUCCUGAUGAUCAGUAGUGGAGCCCAAUUGGGACGAUCGGGGAUCUAGCAUUUGGGGUUGUCUUCUUUUCUUUUGGUUCCGUAGUCGGACCUAUGUGUGUACUCUGAUUAAUGUAUGAUUUAUUUAUGUAUUGUGUGAAGUGGCGAUUGUAAGCCAACUCUUUAUCCCAUUCUUGUUCAUUACAUGGGAUUGUGUGAAGAUGACCCUUCUUGCGACAAAACCACAAUGCG